Long non-coding RNA from Olea europaea var. sylvestris, 1221 nucleotides. RefSeq lists it as uncharacterized. Lineage: Eukaryota; Viridiplantae; Streptophyta; Magnoliopsida; Lamiales; Oleaceae. The transcript is spliced from 4 exons. The record is from RefSeq and is a predicted model, not a curated record.
ACAAUUUAUAUUUUUCUUGGUAUCAGCACCGUUUGAUUCUAAACAAACUAACCUUCGAAUUUCAUUGGCCGGACAAUUUUUUUCUUGGAAGACACCCGAGCACGUGCUAAACAAUUGAGAUCCUUCAAAGCUGAUCUCCAAAAAAUGAAGAAAGAGAAGAAAGAAGCAGAACUAAAGCGCCUUGAAGCUCUGAAGCUGGAGAGACAGAAGAGAAUUGCAUCUCGAGGAAGUUCCACCUCUGCCAAGUGCCAAAUCAUCACUGCCCUCACCUCAAACAAAGAAAUUGCCAUAAAAAAUUACUCCCAUCACUAAUAGAGGAACCAAAUUCAGUAACUCGGAAGCUGGGUCAUCAUCACCCUUGCAAAGAUCCAAAGUCAGAACUUCAAUUGGAUCCAGCCCCAUGGACAGCUUUCUCUUGGAUACUGCUUCUGCACUUCGGGCUUUCAUCAAAGUAACAUAAUGACUGUUGAUUAUUUUGGGCUCUGAUAAUCUUCUAAUCCGAGCCAUGGAGGCCUUGGAAUCCAGUGUAACAACAUUGCUACAGCCGUCAAGAUGGAGGCAAUAAUAGCGGCUGCUGGUGGUGUCGAAGUGGUAGAGGUGGUGGUGGAUUGAUAAGCUAGCAGCUGCGGUUGCAGAUUUGAAUUAUCUUCAUAGAAAUGCACAGAUGGCUGGUCGGGCCUCAGUUGAGCUACGUACACUCAUUUAUUUCAGAAAAACGCCCGCAAAUGCCGAGGCCAGAAUAGUGAAAUUAAGAUCAAAUUGCUUCAUUGUUUUUGUACCCAAAUUUGGUAUUGAAGGACCCGUUUAUUUGAUGCCGGGAGCUGACAAGAUGGUAGAAUGGUUUAUCGACGAGCAAAAUUGAUGGCAGUGUUUCUUAUAGUGUUUUACAGACUCUGAGAAUAUACACAAUGUGGCAACCCCUCAACCUAACAAGGAGAAGCUUCAACUUACCCUUAUAUGAAAAGACAAAUGGGACCACAAGGUUGGUGAAAAAGAUGAAGCCUCCUUGCCAGGCAAUGUAGAGUAAUUUAUAAGCAAAUAAGCAACAUACUGAGUUAUAAAUUAUUGUUAUUUUUUUCUUUGUUUAGGAAAUUCACUUUCUUGUUUCCUGAGACAGCGCCAUUGUAUAGUUAGUUUGGUGUUCUUCCUAGCAGUUGACAGUAUUUAUCAUCAUGCUUGCGACUCCCUGAAGAAUAGCUAUAGAUUUACAUUUCUUUUUUA